Melitaea cinxia (Glanville fritillary) is the source of this 467-nucleotide long non-coding RNA. RefSeq lists it as uncharacterized. Lineage: Eukaryota; Metazoa; Arthropoda; Insecta; Lepidoptera; Nymphalidae. The transcript is spliced from 2 exons. The record is from RefSeq and is a predicted model, not a curated record.
UUAAUAGAUUGUAUGCUAGCUUGGCGUUAUAAUCUUAUAAACAAACAGUAAAGUACAGACUUUAAUGCCGCAAAUGUGUUUAUAGUAAGUACUUCUUUAACUUGCGGACACGUAAACUUAUUGGCAGUUAUUUAACAAUUAUGUCGAUAUAUGGCUUAGUGAUAGAAUUAGCAAAUAGAACUGGCAGUGAGCUGGUCACCUAGGUCGCAGGACCGAUGGCCACUGGAGCAGACGUGUCCUGGAAUGAAGAUCGCGUGUUGGCAAACGCAGUGUGGGACGCCCUCCGAUCUGCUGGACCGACAAUGACAGAGGAUAGAAAGUAGAAGAUGGUGUUGCAGGCGUCCACACUUCGGUAUCCGCUUACCACGAAGCGGAACGUACACCUGUUUGCAACUCUGAAAUAAAUUGUUUUAAUUUUUUCCAUCAAACCUGUCAUGAAUCAAUGAUAAUAACAACAGUUGCUUAAA